CUUGAAAAUUACAGAAUUCCAUGCAGAUUUUACAGCCUCUGUAGGUAAGCUUUCACAAGGUGUUUUUCUGCACUUGUCCCCCCUCCUUGCCCCGAUCGCUCUGCCCCUCUCUUGGGGGGGGUUCCUGCUUCUGUUUAUGCCCUGGUGGGCCACACCACACUCCCACAAGAUGAACAUUAUACAAAAGAAAACUCAGUGGAAGGUUCCUUCUUUAAACAGAAAGCACUCUCUUCAUCUGCCAAAUGAAGUGAGAAGGGUAGGAAAAUUAGAUUUUAUUGAAAAAAUAUAUUUAAAACUGAUGUUUUUUCAGUUCUGUCUUAGGGCUAGUUAGCAGUGUUAUGAGACACAAACAGGAAGGAGUGAGGUGGAAAGGUAUGGAAGGUACUGGGCAUGGCAGCUGAAGCUUGCAACCCCAGCGCUGUGGGAGGCCAGGGUGGGACAACUGCUUGAGGUCAGGAGUUUGAGAACAGCCCGGGCAACACAGCAAGACCCCAUCUCCACAGCAAAUUAAAAAAAAAAAAAUUAGCCACAUGUGGUGGCACGUGCCUGUGGUCCCAGCUACUUGGGAGACUGAGGCAGGAGGAUUGCUUGACCCCAGGAGUUUGAGACCAGUCUGGGCAACAUAGCAAGACCCCGUCUCUACCACAAAAGAAAAGAAAAAGAUGGAAGGGGAAAAGAGAAGAGUUAAAAAUAAAGCAGAGAAGAAGAGCAGUGAGAAAGGUGAAGGAAGGGAGGAAAGGAAGGAAACGGGAGGGAGGGAAGGAAAGGGAGGAAGGGAGGGAGGGAGGAAGGAAGGGAGGGAGGGAAGGAGAGAGGAAGGGAGGGAGGUUGGUCGGUCCUAGACCAAUCAGAGUUUGCAUUUCAUUUCAGCAACUUCCCUGGGAGAGGGAAAGAUUUGUGCCCAUGUGAUCAAGUGUGAGAAGCUCACUAAGCCCUAACUUAUUUCUGAGUCACCAUUCAAAGACAUUGAUUUUUUCGACUUUUGAUUUCCAACUUCAAAACAAAACAAAGGGACUCAAGAAAACUUUUGAAGGUGAUGUGUAUGUUUAUUACUCUUGUGCUGAUGGUAGCAGUAGUGUAUACUUAAGUCCCAACUCACCAAAUUACAUUAUGUGCAGUUUUUAGUAUAUCAAUUACACCUUACUGAAGCUGGAAAGAAAUGAUAAUAAAAAGUUUUUGAGUUCUUAUAAUUUGACAGCAAACUGAGAUUUUACUCUUAUAACUUGUGAUCCACUGAUUCCUUCAGCUAGCAUUUGCUGACAUUUACCAUUUCCUGAGUCUUGUUGAUGAAUACUAGAGAAGGAUGUUGAAGAGCACUAAAUAGGUAACCUCAAGCAGUGACGUUAUAUCUGAAAAAAGUGACUGAGGUUCACUUUUAAGUAGGCAGCGUGCUUUGAGGCCUGAAAGGGCUCGGGUUGAAUGGGCCCUGCCAGCCAUGGAUCCUUAUGUAGAGGCUGGGCAAAAAAAUGCUCCAUUUUCCCCCUUUCACCAAGAAUUGAAAUAGCCCCUUUUCCUGCUCGUUUGGCCGAGUAGAAGGGAAAGCCUUUGAGGCUAUUCAUGUUUUCACUGCCUGGUUUUCUGGGUCAGGAUUAGGUCAUGACCGUUUCAUGUUUGUUCAUUUGGCCUUGGGCCCCUGGGGCAGGUAGGGUCUGGCCAGGGGAAAGGUUCUUUUCCAGAUUUUUUUUUUUUUUUUUUUUUUUUUGAGACGGAGUCUCGCUCUGUGGCCCAGGCUGGAGUGCAGUGGCAUGAUCUCAGCUCACUGCAACCUCCGCCUCCCAGGUUCAAGUGAUUCUCCUGCCUCAGCCUUCUGAGUAGCUGGGAUCACAGGUGCCCGCCACCACACCCGGCUAAUUUUUAUAUUUUUAGUAGAGACGGGGUUUCACCAUGUUGGUCAGGCUAGUCUCAAACUCCUGACCUCAGGUGAUCCGCCCGCCUUGGCCUCCCAAAGUGCAGGCAUGAGCCACCGCGCCCAGCCCUUUUCCAGAUUCCUGUAGCCAGCAAAGACCAGCACCAAACAUUUGUUGGGGUAAUGGAUGGGUGGAUGCAAAUGAAUGUUUGCAUUUGAAUGAAAUGACUGAGAACAAAUCUUUGCCUGCUUUCAAGUUGCUGAGCGUCCCUCUACUGCCUAAGAUGAGGGGUUUUUCUAUUUGUAUGUUAUUCCUCGCCUGUCAUAACAACAGUGUUUUUGGACAAUGGUGAAAAGGAGCUCCCUCUUUGAUUUUUGUAGAUGGCAGUUGAAUUCCUGCAUGAACUGAAUGUUCCAUUUUUCAAAGUUGGAUCUGGAGACACUAAUAAUUUUCCUUAUCUGGAAAAGACAGCCAAAAAAGGUCGCCCAAUGGUUAUCUCCAGCGGGAUGCAGUCAAUGGACACCAUGAAGCAAGUUUAUCAGAUUGUGAAGCCCCUCAACCCCAACUUCUGCUUCUUGCAGUGUACCAGCGCAUACCCGCUCCAGCCUGAGGACGUCAACCUGCGGGUCAUCUCGGAAUAUCAGAAGCUCUUUCCUGACAUUCCCAUAGGGUAUUCUGGGCAUGAAACAGGCAUAGCGAUAUCUGUGGCCGCAGUGGCUCUGGGGGCCAAGGUGUUGGAACGUCACAUAACUUUGGACAAGACCUGGAAGGGGAGUGACCACUCGGCCUCGCUGGAGCCUGGAGAACUGGCCGAGCUGGUGCGGUCAGUGCGUCUUGUGGAGCGUGCCCUGGGCUCCCCAACCAAGCAGCUGCUGCCCUGUGAGAUGGCCUGCAAUGAGAAGCUGGGCAAGUCUGUGGUGGCCAAAGUGAAAAUUCCGGAAGGCACCAUUCUAACAAUGGACAUGCUCACCGUGAAGGUGGGUGAGCCCAAAGGCUAUCCUCCUGAAGACAUCUUUAAUCUAGUGGGCAAGAAGGUCCUGGUCACUGUUGAAGAGGAUGACACCAUCAUGGAAGAAUUGGUAGAUAAUCAUGGCAAAAAAAUCAAGUCUUAAAAAUAAAGUGCCAUUCUCUG
Molecule: small RNA, 2979 nt
Filed under: Pan troglodytes (chimpanzee)
Lineage: Eukaryota; Metazoa; Chordata; Mammalia; Primates; Hominidae
Description: processed transcript
Source: RNAcentral